RNAcentral lists this unclassified non-coding RNA (417 nucleotides) under Mitrasacme oasena. Its description in RNAcentral is "partial external transcribed spacer". Lineage: Eukaryota; Viridiplantae; Streptophyta; Magnoliopsida; Gentianales; Loganiaceae. The record is from RNAcentral.
GGAUCUUUGCUUGAGCAACGACUUCCGCCCGUUCGAGCCUCUUCAUUGUUGGUACAAGAGUUUUUCUAACCUUGACCGUCUUUGGUUUCCUGUGUUGCAUACCGAUUACACGGAAUUGAUUUGUUUCAAUUGCCCCUCGUUCGUCUUGUGAUGCCCGUUUUUGACGUGUGCGUCGCUGAUGAAUCCCGAAGUGCCCGUUGCCGUCCGCCUUGGCCACGUUAAGUCGUGCGUUUCAUGCGGCCUGUGACGAUGCACUUGUACUCACGGAUGCGGAACCCUCAUAGGGUACGGGGCUUGUCCCCUUUUUGCCCAAAACUAAGCGUUCACCGCUAAUUAGCGAACGACCGUUGUUGUCGCCUCAGGAUGGUUGUCUCUACGAGUCAUGCCACGCCUGAGCGUCACCUACGUCGAUGAGGA